Molecule: long non-coding RNA, 364 nt
Filed under: Coturnix japonica (Japanese quail)
Lineage: Eukaryota; Metazoa; Chordata; Aves; Galliformes; Phasianidae
Description: lncRNA (ENSCJPG00005004159.1)
Source: RNAcentral
AAAUAAUCUGUUUUUGUUUUGUUUUGUUUUUUCAACUUUUUCAUGUAAUUAUAGGAAUAUUUAAUUGGAUUAAAAAAAAUUGCCGUCUGCUUCAAGUGAAAUAUCUAAAGGCAAGUCUACAGUGCCAUCAUUAAAAUCAGCCGAGGUGGGAAAUCAAGUAAGCAUCCCACAGUAAUUAUGUGUUCAAACUUUUACACCUGAGAGGCAGACUGUACAUUCAUAGCACAUGUAUGUGUCCAGGCUUUGGCAGUGGGAAUGUAAGCAAGCUUGCAGCUGUGAUCAACUCCCUUGGGAGGAAAAGAUGAUUACAUCAGCCAUGGAACCAGCAGAUUACAUGAAAUUCUACUUGGAGGAAUCACCAUAG